RNAcentral lists this unclassified non-coding RNA (240 nucleotides) under soil metagenome. RNAcentral describes it as "partial contains 5.8S ribosomal RNA, internal transcribed spacer 2, and large subunit ribosomal RNA". The record is from RNAcentral.
AACCUAGCACACCUGCGGUGUGUACCUGCGGAGGGAUCAUUACACAAAUUAAAAUAUGAAGGCUUCGGCUGGAUUAUUUUUAUCACCCUUGUCUUUUGCGCACUUGUUGUUUCCUGGGCGGGUUCGCCCGCCACCAGGACCACACCAUAAACCUUUUUUAUGCAGUUGCAAUCAGCGUCAGUAUAACAAAUGUAAAUCAUUUACAACUUUCAACAACGGAUCUCAGAUCGGAAGAGCACA